UGAAACUUCGGUCGAUUUAAUUUAAUUCUAGUGGCGGACGGGUGAGUAACGCGUGGGUAACCUGCCUUAUACAGGGGGAUAACAGUCAGAAAUGGCUGCUAAUACCGCAUAAGCGCACAGAGCUGCAUGGCUCGGUGUGAAAAACUCCGGUGGUAUAAGAUGGACCCGCGUUGGAUUAGCUUGUUGGUGGGGUAACGGCCCACCAAGGCGACGAUCCAUAGCCGGCCUGAGAGGGUGAACGGCCACAUUGGGACUGAGACACGGCCCAGACUCCUACGGGAGGCAGCAGUGGGGAAUAUUGCACAAUGGGGGAAACCCUGAUGCAGCGACGCCGCGUGAAGGAAGAAGUAUCUCGGUAUGUAAACUUCUAUCAGCAGGGAAGAUAGUGACGGUACCUGACUAAGAAGCCCCGGCUAACUACGUGCCAGCAGCCGCGGUAAUACGUAGGGGGCAAGCGUUAUCCGGAUUUACUGGGUGUAAAGGGAGCGUAGACGGUGUGGCAAGUCUGAUGUGAAAGGCAUGGGCUCAACCUGUGGACUGCAUUGGAAACUGUCAUGCUUGAGUGCCGGAGGGGUAAGCGGAAUUCCUAGUGUAGCGGUGAAAUGCGUAGAUAUUAGGAGGAACACCAGUGGCGAAGGCGGCUUACU
This 647-nucleotide ribosomal RNA is filed under the name uncultured Lachnospiraceae bacterium. RNAcentral describes it as "bacterial SSU rRNA". It matches the Rfam family "Bacterial small subunit ribosomal RNA", at positions 68 to 730 of the family's 1533-position model. Lineage: Bacteria; Bacillati; Bacillota; Clostridia; Lachnospirales; Lachnospiraceae. The record is from RNAcentral.